GUGGUCCCCAACCCAGUUCUCAUGGACCACCAACAGUCCAGAUUUUGUCACUAUCUCAAUUUGAAUAAAAAAGGGAAAUACAUAAAUCCUGGGCUGUUGGUGGUCCAUGAGGACUGGGUUGGGGACCA
This 128-nucleotide microRNA precursor is filed under the name Pelobates cultripes (western spadefoot toad). The record is from RNAcentral. Lineage: Eukaryota; Metazoa; Chordata; Amphibia; Anura; Pelobatidae.